AUUGAACGCUGGCGGCAGGCCUAACACAUGCAAGUCGAGCGGCAGCAGGGUGAUUGCUUGUGGUUACAGGGGCCGAGGGGCGGGUGAGGGCUAGGUACAUGGGAAGCUGCGGGUGCUUGCGUGCGAACGUGGGCACUCAUACCCUAUUCGCCCAGACGGCCUACGUGGGGGAUCAUCGGAUCUUCCGCUCUUACACGAGUCGAGGUCGGAUUAGCUAGUUGGGGGGGUAAAGGCCUACCAAGGCGACGAUCCGUAGCUGGUCUGAGAGGAUGAUCAGUCACACUGGAACUGAGACACGGUCCAGACUCCUACGGGAGGCAGCAGUGGGGAAUAUUGGACAAUGGGCGAAAGCCUGAUCCAGCCAUGCCGCGUGUGUGAAGAAGGUCUUCGGAUUGUAAAGCACUUUAAGUUGGGAGGAAGAGCAGUAAGUUAAUACCCUGCUGUUUUGACGUUACCAACAGAAUAAGCACCGGCUAACUUCGUG
RNAcentral lists this ribosomal RNA (484 nucleotides) under uncultured bacterium. Its description in RNAcentral is "partial 16S ribosomal RNA". It matches the Rfam family "Bacterial small subunit ribosomal RNA", at positions 30 to 507 of the family's 1533-position model. The record is from RNAcentral.